This 549-nucleotide ribosomal RNA is filed under the name uncultured bacterium. Its description in RNAcentral is "bacterial SSU rRNA". It matches the Rfam family "Bacterial small subunit ribosomal RNA", at positions 746 to 1296 of the family's 1533-position model. The record is from RNAcentral.
CUGAGACACGAAAGCGUGGGUAGCAAACAGGAUUAGAUACCCUGGUAGUCCACGCCCUAAACGAUGCAUAUUUGGUGUGGGCAGUUCAUUCUGUCCGUGCCGGAGCUAACGCGUUAAAUAUGCCGCCUGGGGAGUACAGUCGCAAGGCUGAAACUCAAAGGAAUUGACGGGGGCCCGCACAAGCGGUGGAGCAUGUGGUUCAAUUCGACGCAACGCGAAGAACCUUACCUGGGCUCGAACGGCUUCGGACAGUCCGUGGAAACAUGGAUUUCCCGCAAGGGACUGGAGUCGAGGUGCUGCAUGGCUGUCGUCAGCUCGUGUCGUGAGAUGUUGGGUUAAGUCCCGCAACGAGCGCAACCCUUGUCCUGUGUUGCCAUGCCGAAAGGCGGAACUCGCAGGAGACCGCCAGGGAUAACCUGGAGGAAGGUGGGGAUGACGUCAAGUCCUCAUGGCCUUUAUGUCCAGGGCUACACACGUGCUACAAUGGGCGGUACAAAGCGCAGCGAACCCGCGAGGGGGAGCCAAUCGCAAAAAACCGUCUCAGUUCGG